GACGAACGCUGGCGGCGUGCCUAAUACAUGCAAGUUGAGCGCUGAAGGUUGGUACUUGUACCAACUGGAUGAGCAGCGAACGGGUGAGUAACGCGUGGGGAAUCUGCCUUUGAGCGGGGGACAACAUUUGGAAACGAAUGCUAAUACCGCAUAAAAACUUUAAACACAAGUUUUAAGUUUGAAAGAUGCAAUUGCAUCACUCAAAGAUGAUCCCGCGUUGUAUUAGCUAGUUGGUGAGGUAAAGGCUCACCAAGGCGAUGAUACAUAGCCGACCUGAGAGGGUGAUCGGCCACAUUGGGACUGAGACACGGCCCAAACUCCUACGGGAGGCAGCAGUAGGGAAUCUUCGGCAAUGGACGAAAGUCUGACCGAGCAACGCCGCGGGAGUGAAGAAGGUUUUCGGAUCGUAAAACUCUGUUGGUAGAGAAGAACGUUGGUGAGAGUGGAAAGCUCAUCAAGUGACGGUAACUACCCAGAAAGGGACGGCUAACUACGUG
This 497-nucleotide ribosomal RNA is filed under the name uncultured bacterium. RNAcentral describes it as "partial 16S ribosomal RNA". It matches the Rfam family "Bacterial small subunit ribosomal RNA", at positions 28 to 507 of the family's 1533-position model. The record is from RNAcentral.